RNAcentral lists this ribosomal RNA (233 nucleotides) under uncultured soil bacterium. RNAcentral describes it as "partial 16S ribosomal RNA". It matches the Rfam family "Bacterial small subunit ribosomal RNA", at positions 27 to 255 of the family's 1533-position model. The record is from RNAcentral.
GGAGUGAACGCUGGCGGCAGGCCUAACACAUGCAAGUCGAACGGCAGCACAGGAGAGUUUGCUCUCUGGGUGGCGAGUGGCGGACGGGUGAGGAAUACGUCGGAAUCUGCCUAUUUGUGGGGGAUAACGUAGGGAAACUUACGCUAAUACCGCAUACGACCUACGGGUGAAAGCGGAGGACCUUCGGGCUUCGCGCAGAUAGAUGAGCCGACGUCGGAUUAGCUAGUGGCGGG